This 253-nucleotide ribosomal RNA is filed under the name uncultured bacterium. Its description in RNAcentral is "partial 16S ribosomal RNA". It matches the Rfam family "Bacterial small subunit ribosomal RNA", at positions 524 to 776 of the family's 1533-position model. The record is from RNAcentral.
UACGGGGGGAGCAAGCGUUGUUCGGAUUUACUGGGCGUAAAGGGCGCGCAGGCGGCUACGCACGUCCGUUGUGAAAUCGCCCGGCUCAACUGGGCGGGGUCAGCGGAUACGGCGUAGCUGGAGCAAGCUAGGGGGCAAUGGAAUUCCCGGUGUAGUGGUGGAAUGCGUAGAUAUCUGGAGGAACACCGGUGGCGAAGGCGGCGUUCUGGACUGCAACUGACACUGAUGAACGAAAGCCAGGGGAGCAAACGGG